GAUGAACGCUGGCGGCGUGCUUAACACAUGCAAGUCGAACGGAAAGGCUCCUGCUUGCUGGGGUACUCGAGUGGCGAACGGGGGAGUAACACGUGGGUGAUCUGCCCUGCACUUUGGGAUAGGCCUGGGAAACUGGGCCUAAUACCGGAUAGGACGAUGGUUUGGAUGCCAAGGAGGAAAGUUUUUUCGGUGUGGGUUGUGCUCGCGGCCUAUCAGCUUGUUGGUGGGGUAAUGGCCUACCACGGCGUCGACGGGGAGCCGGCCUGGGAGGGAGUCCGGCCACAUUGGCCCUGGGGUGCGGCCCAGGCGCCUUCGGGGGGCAGGGGCGGGAAAUAUUGCACGAUGGGCGCAAGCGUGAUGCAGCGACGCCGCGUGGGAGAUGACGGCUUUCGGGUUGGAAACUCCUUUCGCUAGGGACGAGGCGCAGUGACGGUACCUGGAGAAGAAGCACCGGCUAACUACGUG
RNAcentral lists this ribosomal RNA (465 nucleotides) under uncultured bacterium. RNAcentral describes it as "partial 16S ribosomal RNA". It matches the Rfam family "Bacterial small subunit ribosomal RNA", at positions 28 to 507 of the family's 1533-position model. The record is from RNAcentral.